RNAcentral lists this long non-coding RNA (3159 nucleotides) under Toxoplasma gondii VEG. The record is from RNAcentral. Lineage: Eukaryota; Apicomplexa; Conoidasida; Eucoccidiorida; Sarcocystidae.
CGGCAGACUGAGUAAAUAUUACAGACACGAAGCUACAAAGGAGUACCCAGGCUACAGUCAGUGAAACUUAUAGACUCUGGCUGUGAAAGGCACUCGGCUUUUGCAUCAUGAGAUGCGAUCCGGAGCCGAGAAUUUCUCAGCGAAGUAUCACAAACUGCGGUGGACAUUUGCUGGAGAUACAGUGCAGGGCCCGCUUCGUUAGAGACAAUUUAUUCACAAAUCUUAUUUCUUGUGCACCAGUGGACUUCCGGAUCGUCAGAAAUGUCGAGUAUGCGUGGUUGACCAUACAGAGUGUCAAGCCUACUAAAUCCUGAGGUUUUCCUGUGCGUCUCAGCUUUUUCUGAAGGUAGCUCUGUCUUCUGGCAUACUCGUAGUACUGGCCAACAUUGAAGCCUAUAACGACUUUAACGAUUGAGGCCGGUCUGCUUCCAAACAGUGCAUUCUCUUCGAAAAACUUGGCAAUUUCGUCUUCAUCAACAGCAUCCUCUGGCAAUCCAGAGACAGCGACGGCGAAACUAUCGGGCCGUAUCACUUCCUCUGUUGACAUCUUUGCAACCAGUUGCUGCGUUUGAAACGCGACAUGUUCAGAAAGUCAUUGAUCUGUGCAAGCUCAGAACAGCCAUUCGACUUCCUCAACCCGGCAAAAAUUGGCGUUUUAGCUGCAUGCGUCCCAACUUCUGUUCAACUUCUGUCCACUGUCGAGUCUGCGAAGCGACGGGCUGGCCCUUGUUCACGGGAAUCUGAAGCUCACCUGCCUCCGGCUGAAGUGAGGAAAGAGCGCGACUGACACAACUAUUGUUACGAAGAUCAUCGACACGGGGAUCAGGGAAGAGCGAGCUCGGGCGUCAAGGCAGCCGGCCGUCCCGAAGACUGGUCAAGAAGACACCACAAAUCGGAGUGAACCACUUAUAUUCUCAUCAACCAUACGGAAAAGCCAGACUGCGGACUGCGUCGGCGAAUCCCUUCGGUUGCUUACCAGCGGUAUAGACGGAACAACGCGGCGACUGUUCGUGAGACCAGAAAUUGUAGACUCCAAGGAGAACAGGCGACAAGAAAAAACACUGGGAGGCUGAGAGAACGAGCAACAUCUUGAUGAAGUCGAAGAAUAGAGGAAACCCUGUGUUGACAAAGACAGCCACAGCAAGAAGGCGUGGGGGGAACAAAGCGUAAAAGCCCCUCAGAAGCGGGCAAAUGAAAGCGGGAAAACAUAAAGAGAUGCCUUCAAAACAUACCGCAGCCUAAGUCCCCAAGCUCUCUCGGAUUGCAGCAGAGGCUGUACUGGCCGCAUUUUGGAUACCCGGAGGCGGUAAACAGCUCUGCAAUAUCAUCCACAUCGUGGAGGUCAACAAUGAGCUGCGUAUCGAUUUUCCGGACCUUGCUGUAUUUCCCAUGCUCUUUUGCUUCAUUGACAUUGACCCCUCGAACGAGGUCUGAGUCACUGUCUGUUUUUUCUCCAUGGUCAAACCCAUGCUCAGUGGUUAGCCGUCGUGUUUUAUCUCUGAGGAUGCUCUCCUCAGCAGCUGUUCCUUCGGACCGCAUGUCCGUCACGACUCUAAGAGUUGCUGUCGAAGGUAGACGGCAACUUGAAAUGCUGGAGAUAGAGACGAAAGCAAGCUGCCCGAGCACCUCAGCAUACUGUGAUCGGGAAGCGGCUACAAGACCAUUCACUCGUUGAUGGAGGCGAACAUCUGCCCUAGCAGGUUUUCUUCUGACACAAGGGUGACGUUCAACAGUGAACGGACUUCCACGAAGUCAAAAAUACCACACUGCUCCAUAAGGGCAGUUUUGGAACUGCAGGCCAGGAAUGAGUCGAUCUGAAAAAGCGGUGCGAUUUUUCUCAGCUGAACUGGGACUCUGUUACAAAGCUGAACUGCAAUCGAAACUGGUGCGCACUCUGACUACAAGGAAUGCAUGCUGCGUCCUGUUUUCUUUCGGCGGUGGAUACACAUGAGAGUUGCGAGGCGACAUUUACCGUUUCAAAACAGUGGCGCUUUUGAUACCCUCUUCGUGACUUCAGUGCCUAGAGUGAACCGCGCAAUUGCUCACACAUUUUGUGUUCAGUUACACAGACUAAACAGGUUUUACUCCAGAUAUUCUGGCACCGUUUUGGUUGAUGGUGAUCUUGUCAAGCCGAAACGCACGUGCGAGGAGACCAUGGGGUUGCCCUUGUGAGUCAGGGAUAUGAGAGCACCGAAAAGCGAUCUUGUCUGUCUACAGGAUCUGCGACGGGUAGCUCUUCUACAACGUACCAAGUGAUACAGGAAAUUCCUGCACUGAAGAGGGAUAGGUUUUUGACUUCACCGUAUUUGAGCUGCGUGUGAGCCUAUUAUUGUUAUACAUGAGCAGACAUAGACGAAGGAGUCGCGCCAUGAGCGACACCACGAUUGUUUCUGCAGAAAUCACGUCAAGGGACGUUCCAGUCAGUCGCGCUGUCCUUCACAUCGGUGACGUUGUCAGGUCCAGCUUUUUACCACCGGGGAACAGCAGCUGAGUGUUUCGCUUCUCGAUGCUCCGGCACGCACAUCCGAUUAUGAUGAAGUCUUAUUUUAGUGGAUACGGGGGAACAUUAGGCCAUCACCAGAGGGUCCUCCAACGGGGACAAGCCAAAGAAAAGGGUUUUCCCCCUACAGACGAUGUGAUGUGGGCUGAAGCUUGAUGCACCUUCGAUCCUAAGCCUACCAUAACCUCUUUGAUGUUAUUCCAGACUCCUAAGUCCCAAUCGUGGCCGGGGCCGCCACGCCGUUUCUCGCAGUACUCCACCGUUGAAGAAUUGAUCGACAGAAGGUACGUGUGGAAAAUGAAGAAACUUCCGACAAUGCUGGGCAAUACGGGGGUGACGUUCGGUCCCCGGCACUUCCCCUCAGAUGUCUUACCAGAGGACGCAGAUACUGAGGACAGUUCCCAAGAGAAUGAAGUACACCGUCUCGAAAGGUAUAUUCGAGUCACCGAAUGCGGCCGUAACUGCGGAGGAUGGAAGAGGCGUAUCGAUGGCAUCGUACCUAGUUUUCAAACAAUGUCUCUGGCUCACCAGUGGGAAACAUGGUUGCCGAAGUAAAGGACAGAGUCGCAGUAGAGUACAGUAGUGUCAGGUAAAAGUACUUGUAAUUAAAGUAGCCGAUAUCGUUGGCUACCUGAAACAGAUCGAAUGUGUGGUGUGUG